Molecule: long non-coding RNA, 755 nt
Filed under: Zea mays
Lineage: Eukaryota; Viridiplantae; Streptophyta; Magnoliopsida; Poales; Poaceae
Description: drought-responsive long non-coding RNA
Source: RNAcentral
AAUAACCCUAGUUAAUAAGUCUUCAUGAUGCCGCCUCUUCCUGUUCUUACCUUCUUUUCCCUGAAGAGCUGCGGUGUGAGGAGAUACAACGAUGGCGCAACAUCAACAAGCGAUGGAGGAUCCAUGAACCAUCCCACCUCCUUCAUCUCGACCACCAGGUCUACCAUGGUGUGGAUUUGACUCUAGCUAUAGUGGGUCUAAUGGUAGUGGCUCCAGCGAUGACUGGUCUCGACCUCUACUUGGCGCCAUUCCUUCCACGACCAUGACAAUAGUGGAGCUCAAGCAGAGGCAUUGUGCUUGGCUCCUCGGCGGCGGCGACGCCUCCAAAUCUGAGCGGGUCGUUGGCGGCGGCGACUAGAUCUGGGUGACGACGCAUUAACUCGAUGGUGAAGAAAACCCAGUGGCGACGAUGGACAAAAUUAGUUGCGACGACAACCUAACCUUGACGAGCUUGGAUCUGGAGUCGACGGGUUUAGAUCCAGGCUCACAAAUUUUUUAUUAUUUUUAAAUGGGCCUUUACAAGCGGUCUACGUAAGAGCCUGCUUCUAAAAAUAGUGUUUGUACAAAUGGUUCUUGACCACCGCUUGAUUAAAAUUAGAUUUUCUCAAGCUCUUAAAUGGUAGCGCCCAUGGACACCGUAUAGAAAAAAUUGUUUUCAACCACUUGUAAAGACUUUUUUUUGUAAUAGUGUAAACUAGGUGUGGUAUACACAUUUUGAUAAUUGAUAUUAGCCUGGUCAGCAUUAUUAUUGUCCA